UACGAAGGGGGCUAGCGUUGCUCGGAAUCACUGGGCGUAAAGCGCACGUAGGCGGCUUUUUAAGUCAGGGGUGAAAUCCUGGAGCUCAACUCCAGAACUGCCCUUGAUACUGGGAAGCUUGAGUCCGGGAGAGGUGAGUGGAACUCCGAGUGUAGAGGUGAAAUUCGUAGAUAUUCGGAAGAACACCAGUGGCGAAGGCGGCUCACUGGCCCGGUACUGACGCUGAGGUGCGAAAGCGUGGGGAGCAAACAGG
RNAcentral lists this ribosomal RNA (253 nucleotides) under uncultured bacterium. RNAcentral describes it as "partial 16S ribosomal RNA". It matches the Rfam family "Bacterial small subunit ribosomal RNA", at positions 524 to 776 of the family's 1533-position model. The record is from RNAcentral.